CAUUCACAGUCGAGUUUUAGCGCUGCCCCUUUUGAAAUACUUGCAUCUACAUUUUGUUACGAUAGCGAAAGGAUCGGAGGAGAAGAGUUUUGGCGGGUCGAAAAAAGCGCGAUCCCACAGCUCGAUGUGUCUAGACAAAAUUUUUUGUCCCAUCGCGAAGUGCCUAUAAACAGCAGAACGAUUAUUGACCCCGAAUUCUCAGGCCGGGAAGUGUGAAAUCUCGUGAUGAUCGAGGCCGAGAUUGAGAAAACAUAAACAGGAAAAUCAUCUCGUGCUUUACAAAUCGCACGAAGAGAAUUCACGCAGAGGGCGCGAUCACUCUGCGGGUUUCUCAAUCCAAACGUUCACGUAUUGAUGCACGUUCCUAGAUUCCCGAGAGUUUGUUUGUAGUGAACAGAGCACGGGAUGUUUGAGACUUUAAUCUCACGAGUUCUACCGAUUGGUACGCUCUCCAGGCUUCUGGAAAAUCUCCGAUGACACGUGUUUGUGGAUCUAUAUUCGAGAGGAAGUGAAAACGGGUUGUUCGACAUUAACGAAAUAUAGAAAAAGAAGCAAUCAAAAAAAAACUCCGUCGAAAUCGAAGGAUCAUCGACGGGUAGUCUCGAGUGGACGUUUAAACGGCUAGCCCCGGAGCUCUUCAGAGUCCGAUCUUCGAAGAUCUUCAUCCGUUAAGAUGACCAGCGUGAAAGACGAAUGACCGUUGAAAAAAAUACGCCAUAAGGACAGUAGGCAGGCGCCGCUGGCAAAUCGUGAGAAAUCUUCGACACUCGAAAAGAAAAAAAAAGAGAGAGAGAAAAAGCGUAACAACAAGAGAGAAAAAGAACGAGGGACGAUGAGCAAUAAAUCAGGAAGUUCAGGUUGGAAUAAUACAACGUACGUGAGUCGAAGAAGGGACGAACCUGACUGCAAGAGCUGGAAUAGAAAUCACUUCGCGCCAAUGUGGCGCCUGAUGCAGAUGUCGAGAUGUAUUUUGCAAUCGUGAUGCAUACAAAUCGAAAUAGAGAAUUUCAUCGUGACGAGCCGAGAUAACUAUGAAAACGUCGGUGUGAUGAAAAAAAAAAGAAACAAAAAAAUUCUCGAAUAUUUUUCAUCUUUUAAAUGUAAAAAGGAAAAAUUGAUUAACUGUUAUCACAUUUCGAGAAAUUGAAAACAGAGGUGAAGGUAA
Long non-coding RNA from Venturia canescens, 1165 nucleotides. RefSeq lists it as uncharacterized. The transcript is spliced from 5 exons. The record is from RefSeq and is a predicted model, not a curated record. NCBI's taxonomy places the organism in Eukaryota, Metazoa, Arthropoda, Insecta, Hymenoptera, Ichneumonidae.